RNAcentral lists this ribosomal RNA (460 nucleotides) under uncultured bacterium. RNAcentral's name for it is "partial 16S ribosomal RNA". It matches the Rfam family "Bacterial small subunit ribosomal RNA", at positions 338 to 795 of the family's 1533-position model. The record is from RNAcentral.
CCUACGGGUGGCAGCAGUGAGGAAUAUUGGUCAAUGGGCGCGAGCCUGAACCAGCCAAGUCGCGUGAGGGAAGACGGUCCUAUGGAUUGUAAACCUCUUUUGUCGGGGAGCAAAAGACGCCACGCGUGGCGUUCCGAGAGUACCCGAAGAAAAAGCAUCGGCUAACUACGUGCCAGCAGCCGCGGUAAUACGUAGGUGGCAAGCGUUGUCCGGAUUUACUGGGUGUAAAGGGCGUGUAGCCGGGAAGGCAAGUCAGAUGUGAAAUCCGGAGGCUCAACCUCCGAAUUGCAUUUGAAACUGUUUUUCUUGAGUACUGGAGAGGCAGACGGAAUUCCUUGUGUAGCGGUGAAAUGCGUAGAUAUAAGGAGGAACACCAGUGGCGAAGGCGGUCUGCUGGACAGCAACUGACGGUGAGGCGCGAAAGCGUGGGGAGCAAACAGGAUUAGAUACCCCUGUAGUC